RNA transcript from Colossoma macropomum (tambaqui), 2929 nucleotides. RefSeq lists it as uncharacterized. The record is from RefSeq and is a predicted model, not a curated record. The transcript has 7 exons. NCBI's taxonomy places the organism in Eukaryota, Metazoa, Chordata, Actinopteri, Characiformes, Serrasalmidae.
AACUUUUAAUAGAAAUACUGAUGUUUCCUGUUUAUCACAGCACAGCGACUCCUAAUGAGCUCAAAGCCCGACAUUGGUUCCUGUAUGCAGGAUGCAGUGUUCAAACUGAAAGCCCGCGCAUGCUCAGUGUGUUUCCCUAAACUCGCGGGCGGAUGGGCUUUUCACGGCGCGGAGUUUGAAACUCGACUACAAGCAGCACAGUCAGUCAUGCAGUCCUGCAGUCCGGUCUCUGUGUCCUGAUCUUACUGAUGUCUACAUUCACUACUGGUCAGUCAUGCAGUCCUGCAGUUCUGCUCUCUGUAUCCUGAUCUUACUGAUCUCUACAUUCACUACUGGGUCUGAAUCAGCUGAACCUCCAGUGAAGGUGAAUCUUCAUGACUCUGCUACUCUGCCCUGCUCUGAGAGAUGCUCUGGUUUGGUCAAAUGGACCGUAUCACAUAAAGAUGGAGAUGUUCUGGCUGAGUGUGAUCAGACUUCAUGUAGAUCAGUGAAGGAGGGAUAUCAGAUGAUCCAUGAUCAGUACCUGAAGGGGAAUCUCUCUCUCACCAUCACUGAUGCUGAUUUCACUAAGAGAGGCUGGUACACGUGUGAGUGUGACGGUAAAGAUCUCUGUGAUGUGCAGCUUCAGAUUGAGCCCUUGAACAGCACAGUUCAGAAAAAGCCUGGUCAGUCUCUGGUCCUGGAUUUGGACGUAUCAGAUCCAGUGGAGGUGAUUUAUAACAGCACGGGUGCAGCUAAUCAGUCCAGUGAUCAGAUCUGUACAGUGGAUGGAUGCUCACUAGAGUGUGAACCUGAAUAUGAAGAGAGAGUGUCGGCAGCUCUUCAGCUGAGAGCAGUGACUCCAUCUGAUAACGGGGUUUAUACUAUAAAGACCACCGGGGAUGAAGAAGUUAUCCACACCUACUCAGUGACCGUCCAAGAUGACCAGCCAUGUCUGGACACAGAUAAAGGACCUGCUGUGCCAGCGUGGAUGUUUGUACUGAUUGCUGCACUUGUAGCUGUGAUUGUGAUACUGGCUGUGAAGAUUGUGCAGCUGAGGAGAGAAAAUCAGAUGCUCCGUAACCAGCGCAUCUGAGAGGUCAUCACCAUCCCAUCAGUGUCUCCAAAGUUCCUUUUCCCAGCACAGUGUUGCGUUCUUCAUCUGCUUCAGUGCUUUAGUGUGGAACAUCAAUGACUUCUUCACCAAACAGUAUUUUUCACUUCCAUCUGGUUAGCUUCUUUUUAUAUAGCUGCCUGAUAGCCAGCUAGCUAGCUAAGAUUGGAUGUGACGGCAUAAUAGCAGGUGAUAUUGUGUGAGGAGACCAAUGAGUUCGGAUGCUACAGUGUCGCAGCUUUUUUUGUCUUUUUUUUUUAAAAACAGCUCUGGGCCACCUCAUCUCUGUGUCCCACGGAGGCCUGGCGAAAAAGUCAUGAAAGUUAGGAUGAUAUGGCGAUCUAAUUUGGUCUAAGUUUAGUAGUUAGGGGCUACUUGCAUUUAUACAGCCACAGCAGCAAAAAUAAAACAAUUAUUAUUUUUAUUCAUUUUCCGUUAGGUCCGUUAAACUCCUCAUUGUUUCAGAUGAAUCAGUCUGUAACUAAAGUGGUUGAUCUGAUUGAUCAGAUUCAGUGUGAACUGAAGCUUCAUGAUUACAGGCGACUCCAGGCAGCUACUGAUGUCUUCGCUACUUUGAGUUUCACACUCAGAGAAGUGAAGGAAGUGUUUAUGUUGUCUGUCUUCAAAGAAAUGAAGCUUCCACUGAUGUUACUGAAUGUUUGUCCUCUCGAUCAGUGUUUGUUCAUCUGCUCUGCUGACCCGCAGCUCUGCACAGGUUCUGGGCUAACUCAGCACACCUGAUCCAGAUGAGAACAGUGAGAGAACAGUAAAACCGUGCAGAGCUGUGUGUCACCAGCAGCACAGUUAGACCCCAUCAGCUCAUUAACAAACCCUCACUGAGCUAAAACAGCCGUGUCAGAGCAGGAAAACACUAAGAGGUUCUCCAGGAUCAAGGAUGUAAUAGAAGACUAGAUAAAUAUGUGAAAGAUGAAAGAUUUUGGUAUGUAAAUGUUUCGUGUGCAUUCAAAAUGAUUUGUAUACCUGUGUGUGUGUCAUGUUAUCUAGAUUUACAUCUGAUACUUUUUAAUGUAAAUUUUAGACACUGGGGGCUUUGUUUAAUAUAGAUUUUGUACUUUGUACUUUGGUGGGUUUGACGUUUUUGUACUUGUUCACAUUCUCUGUUAUUGUGCCUCGUAUAAGAUCUGUUUUGAGAGUAGAACAGACACGAGCCAGACUGAGUUCAGUGGGAGACACAGAAUCUUGACAGAAUCUUGUAUCUUCAUUUUUGGAUGGAGACAUUAUUAUUAUUAUUAUUAUUAUUAUUAUUAUUAUUAUCAUUAUUAUUAUUAUUAUAUUAUUAUUAGCAUUUUAAUUUAUUUGCCUUUUUGCAUGAUAAUUGAACACGUUCUGUUUGUACUGUUUUAAUUCAUUUCAUGGUGAAGUGAUACUUAAAUCUAAGAGCUCUCGUCCUCAUUUUUAUACGUUUCAGUCUGAUUUGUUUGAAAUGUUCGAUCGUAUUAAUUUAAAAUGAAGCAGAGUGAUGAAUGUCAGGUGUCAAACUCCAACAUUUCUGAUUCUGAGGGCCUGUCAGCCACUUCACCUCUGUGCCCUUUUUGAGUGACAUACAGAGAGUUAACCGCUGUUCCUGAGUUCACACCAGCGUUUCUGUGGGUGUGUCUAUGUUCUUUCCAGUGUCCCAGUGUGUUCUGUUUACUGAAGCAGGAUUAGGCUUGUUUACAUCCUACUGAUUAAUUAAAAUCCCAGCUUAUUACGUACUAAGACUUAUUAUUCAGUAACUACAGGGACUUCAGUGCAAACUGGCGGAGCUGCUCGUAGGUUAUAGAAGCACACUCAUGAAAAAGACGGUUCUUUAGUAAAGAACAUGGUUCUAUGUAG